CUGCUGCUUCUGUCACUCUCUCUUCCUUCCCAGAACUUCUUUUUCUCUCAAACACAACUUCCACCCUUCUCAGUUCCUCUUACUUUUUUUUUCUACACAUCAAUCCUCAUUUCUCAGUUCUCACUUGUGUGACUUCAUACUCAUUCUAUUCUUUAUUAAUUAAACAAAUUUAUCCAAUUUGCUUGAUCUAGAUCUAAUUACAAAAUAAAUAGAAUUUAAAAGCAUAAAGAAACUCAUUAUAACUUGUUUUGAAACCAUAUCUGCAUCGAUUGUGGUCUUACUACAGUAACCCAAUCCUACCGGUACAUUUUGCAGAGGGUGGGAAAUCGAAGAACAUGAAAGGGUAAAGGGUUCAAAAGAAAUAAAAAUGGACUGGGAAAACGAAGGCACACCUGUGCUCACGAAAACGACAGGAGGGAUAAGAUGAGCGGCCGGAACUGAGCGGCCGGAAUAAGGUAAGCGGUGGGUGUGGUCUAUGUGUGAUGUUUUAAUCAUUCUUUAAGAGUUGUGUUAUUUGAACAACAAUUUAGGUGACAACUUUUGGGACAACAAUAAAUUUACA
RNAcentral lists this long non-coding RNA (562 nucleotides) under Trifolium pratense (red clover). Its description in RNAcentral is "long non-coding RNA (TPRA_LNC008239)". The record is from RNAcentral. Lineage: Eukaryota; Viridiplantae; Streptophyta; Magnoliopsida; Fabales; Fabaceae.